This 10193-nucleotide long non-coding RNA is filed under the name Coffea arabica (coffee). RNAcentral describes it as "long non-coding RNA (CARA_LNC003936)". The record is from RNAcentral. Lineage: Eukaryota; Viridiplantae; Streptophyta; Magnoliopsida; Gentianales; Rubiaceae.
AUGCAAGAGGCACAUCUUGCCAUCUUCCUCAGAUCAAGUUGCAUCAGAUGAUUCCUUUGACUUGUCAGUCACCACCUCCUUAUCAGACUUGCUAGUCUCUUCACUUUGAGCAUGACUUGAGUGUGUAUGUUCCGACUUGCCCAACUCUCCUGUCUCAGAAUGGGUUGGUUUUGUCAAAUCUGAAUUAUGAAAGUCGGAAGCUAAUCCUAGCACCACUAGUACAGACCUGACAGCAAUUCAAUUCCCUAGUCAGAAUAAGUACAAAUGUAAUUUAUAAGUACGACAGAGGUAACUUGUGUGAACCUUGGGAGUGAUGAUUUAAUAUGUGGUUGGCUAGCAUGUGCAAUCAAGGGAUCCCUUAGAGCUGGCGUUCUAUGUAAUGCAUUUUCCAGGUGUGCUGGUGGAAGCUGAAAAAGCGAAAGCAUCUAACAUCACAUUCAGAGCCCAGAGUAUGACAAGAAUUGAUAAAAUCACUGCAGUCAACUACAAAUAUUGGACCAAACUAAUCAAUAUGGCAAUUCAAGUAUUACUAAAUAACCAUAAAGGUCAGUCUCAGCAUAAUCGUCAAGACUUCAAGAGUCUACAACAUUUUAAAGAUAUGAAGAAAAUACAGAUAAUUGAAGCCAAGGAAGAACCAUAUCUCAGUGGAGAGCUCUAUUACAUAUACUGUCUUCUCAAAAUUUUUUCCUUUUAGCGAAUAUCUGCUUCAAAAGCAGGGGGAGGAAAAAAUCAAGCAUAUGGCAACUCGAAUUUGUAAACAAUCAUUUUUCAGCUGUUGAUAACUAUUCUUCUUCCAAUUUUGUAUUCUACAACAGAUGGCUUGUUAGCAAAAAAAAGUUCAAAUUGAUAGCCUGACAAGCAACCUGCUCAGCUGAAGAAUGCAGAGUCAAAUACAUGAUGUAGCACAAGAUUUAGAACCCACCACGCCCCCCCCCCCCCCCCCAAAAAAAAAAAAAGAAUAAUACAACUGAACAGAAUCAAUUCUGAAUUGGCAAAACUCUUCUUAUUACAGUCACUUCCAGAUCAUUCAUCAUUGAAUGUCAAUGUCAGCCACAUCCAUAUCUUUUAUAUAUCUAGACCAGCUCAGGAAGUUUAUAAGAUAAAGUUUGUGCAAGUAUAUCAGAGGAUGAUGAGGAAUGGCAGACCAUCAGCAGGUAAUUCACAAACAAAAUACCUGUAUCUGCUAAUUAUAAAACACAUAGAUUUAUCAAUUGGUUUAGCACUGCAAGAUCAAAAUAAUUAUCAUAACCCCCAAACACACACUAAUUAGUCACACAGACAAAAAAAAAAAAAGCAAAGUAGAAAUUUACUAGUUGAAAGAAAGUAUAGUUUAGUGAGCUACAUGAAUCAUGAACUUAAUGUUUUGCUACACAUAACAGUACCUGAAGCAAGACACCAAAAGAUUCUGGCUUUGUCAAAAAAGCACACUUAAUGAAUCCGACCCAUAGCUUUGGAUACUUCCAUAUCUGCUAGAAAACAGGAAAAUAAGUUCUCAGAAAGAAUGACAUGCAACAACUCCAUGAUCAAUUUUUUACCUGCUUCUGUACAAGGCGAGAAAGGAUUUCCAUUAUAUAGUCCACCUGAAACACAAUUAGGGUCAGGAAGCCACCAAUGAGAUUAUGAGAUACUUGACGAAAGAUGGAACUUAUCAUACAUUAGCCAUGACUUUGGAUCAUAUCCUAUAAUAGAUUCUAGCUAGAGUCACAAAAUCACAGCAAUAAUCCUUUAGGUAAAAUAUCGUAGUUGGAACCAUAGAAGAUCUCAGUUUUUAGCUAUUAUAGUCGGACACAUAGAAGAUCCCUCGGUAGAACUGGCCAGAACAGCACUGGACAUGAUCUACAUUUACAAAGAUAAUCAGCACAGCGUAUCCACCACUUUUCCCAACAUCAAUCUCAUUGAGUUGUCUGACAAUUACAAACCACUCUUAAAAAUCAAUGCAUGGUUUCCAAAUAAACAUACAAUGCCUCAAGUUCAAAGGAUAUAAACACAAUGUAUUUGCUCAUUCUUGUGGGCAAAAUGCUUAAAACUAUCAUGCUUUUUGAAUAUUUGUGGGCUAUCAAACUUGAAUAUUAAUAAAAACCAAUCUUUGUAAUUGAAUAUAGUGUAAAAGACCCCGCAUGAAAUCAACUCCUAAGCCUUGGCUACUCAAAAGGGACUAUCAUACACAAGUUAAUUCAGCUGCAGAUCAGCAGGCAGAGUAUAUGAUACAGAAAAUACUUUUCUGCAACAGUUUAAUCACUAAAAAACAUCUUACCAGUGAUGGAAAAGCACCAAUUGCCUGCAGCACUGUGCGCAUAAAUAAUAGGGGAAGGGGAGUCUGCUCAACCUGCAGCAGUAUCAAGUGAGGAAUGAAGUCACGUAGUUUGGAGGUUAAGAAAAAAGGAGUGGAGUUAGGAGUUCUGCAUACCAAUUGAUUCAAGACCUUUGCAAGAACUUGCUGAGUGAAGAUCUGUCGCUGCCCAAAACAAGUAUUACAUGCUUCCGUAACCUGUUCUUAGAAAGAUGUUCUUCAGUAAGCAACUUUAUUCGGAUAGGCUAGGGCAGUAUUGGAAAAUGUCCUUUUUUUGAGAUUUGAAGGUAUGAAGAACAGAGGUAAAGCUUGUAAAAUAAUAGACAAAGAUAGGAAUCUCCCUUACAUAGAUAAACAGCAUACCCUGACUAGCAAAAUAAUACAGGAUUGAGGAAGAGGAUAGAAAAAUAGAAUAGUUCUUUUUUUCUUUUUGGUUGGAAGAAAAAUACUGAUAUUUACUGUCAAAGAAAGUGCAAUUUGCAGGUAAGAAGUUUCCACUUUUAAGGCAGUGUUUGUAUUUUGUGGGAAAGGUUACCCUAUAUGGAAUAGCGUAUAUGGUAAUAGUACAACAAAUAACAAAAAGAGCUUAUAUAGGAAUUAAAAGAAAAAGCUACCAUAACUCAGAACAGAAAGGCAUUUUAGGAUUAUUCAACAGAUAAGUGCAACAGUAUAUCAACCGAAUGUGUGCAUUGGAUGUGCAAAAGAUGAAUUUACCACUAAAUACUAUGCUAUAACAUCCAAGAGACACCAUGGAUAUUUGAUGUUACUUUAGGCUUGUUUUAAAUGGUCCAGGGAAUUAGUUGUGUGAUGUUCUUGCAGACUGAAACUCAGCCUAAUAUCAUGUGACUAAUGUGCUGCUAUUUUCAGAUAGGGUGGGUCUCAGAGAUUUUCUAUGAUGCCCUUAACCAGAACAAAAAUGACAAAAAGACCACAACAGCAUGACUAAGCAUCUAAACACAUGGUAGAACAAAAUAUGAUUCACAUAUGGGGUCCUAAAGCCAAGGUGAUGAACUGAUGCUGCCAGGAACUGUAUUGUAAAUCAUGCAAGAAAAGUAUAAGCUUCCACACCUUCUUCAAAGGGAUCCCAUCUCUUUCUGGAUCAAUUCCAUGGAUUGCAAUCAAAGCUUCAGCUGGAGUUAUUGCCGGACAGAAACUAGAAGACCCCUGUUCAAAUUGUUGCUGUCAAAAUCAUUACAUAAUGGUGGCAUAGUAAAAUUAACAGCCAUAUGGAAGAAACAACCAAUUCAAAAAUCACCCAAAAAGGUACUAAGACAAGGGUCAGAUAGUAAAUUCUAGGUUAAAUCCAAGAUACAGCCAAGAGAAAUGAUCCAAAAUGUAACACAUCCAGGGUAUAAAUAUGAAAAAGUCUCCAACAUAUUUAUUAAAGGAAGGUUCACACUUGCACGACCAGAUUCUGAGGAUAAAGAUAAGAAAACUGUAAAUAUCAUGUGUUAAAAAAAGGAGUCUUUCGUACACUAACAACGUACACACUAGCAAACCUGGAUGUAUACACUAUCAGAGUAGGAAAGUAGUUAUCGCAAAAAAAUCCCUAAACUAAUUAGAUUAUCUAGAAAAGGUUCAAUGCAUUUAGAUGAUUACUAAACCAGCUCAUAAUGUUAUGACUUCUUGAAUGAACAAAGACAGAAUAUCUAAGAAAUUAAAACUCAAAAAAAAAAAGUGCCAACCACUACUAAUCAUGAUUGCUAACGGAAAAUUAAGGCUUUGUUUGGAUUGCAUUUUUUUGGAUUUUUUGUAGAAAAAUGACACUAGCAAUUUGAUAUGUGAGGUAAAAAGAUGAUUGGGAAAUAUGUUCACGGAAAACGUGGCAAUUUUUCUUUGGAAAAUUGCUGUCCAAACAAGGCCUAAGUGUCAUGAAAAGCUUCAAUUUAAUAAUUGCUCAAGGGCGAGUUUGACUUGAAGAAACAUUACAUACCUGCGCACAAGCACUUUUUUCUCUCCUUUUCUUUCAGAAAGCUACCCAUUAAAUGGGUGGUUUAGAAUGAACUCAUACCACUUAUCAAAAAGAUAGAGAUGUACAAGAACAACAUAGAACCAAAACAGCGGAAACAUAACAAAAAAAUCACCAAUACCUGAAGCACACAUGCAAGGGCAAGCUGAAACUUCUCCAAUGGGGAAUUCACGAGAUGUGGAAACAUUGCCAAAACCUUCAAAAUAGAAGAUAACCAGUUAUAGGGAAGCACAAAAGGCAAAAUUCAAGUCACUAGGGAGAAAAUAUAUAUGGUAUUAUCACAAUUUCUAUGUCUCUAUCUAUAACAGCUUGAUGGACACUUUGCAUUGCAUAAGCUAGUAGACCAUAAAACAAAGCCUUCCAUGAAAGUCAUACAUGUUCAUACACUACCCUGAUUCUAAUCUUCUCAAUUCCAGUGUAACUAAGUCAAUUGACCAAACCAAAAAAAAAUUGGAGAGACACAGACGCCCACACAGAGAAUGAAUCUGAUUACUACCAAAUUUAGUCGUGACAUUUUUGACAGGUCAAUAUUAAUAAUUUAAAACAUCUUUAAUAAUUUCCCAAGCAUAUCUUAGAAUAUAGUUGUAUAGCUUAUGAGCAAAUCUUGCAACUUAUUAGAUGAUGGUUUCACAUGAAAAUUUAAUUUUCUUGGUUUCAAUGCAUAUCUUACAUAAAUAUCACAUGUAUGAUACACUACAAAUCAUCUGAAUAAUACAUGACUAAGCUCAAAAUAACACAAAGCUAUUAAUCUCAUACAAAAAAGCCAGACCAAAGUUCAAAUUCUAUCACUAGUGGUGACAGAGAUUUGUCCUGGUGAUUAAUAUAUAUGCCAUGUGGUAGUUAGCUGACAUUUAAAGGUAAAGGAUCUCAUUUGGGUACAUAGACCCAGAUAAAAAUAACUGAUCCCGUGCCUAACUGCAAGAUCUGUAAAAAGAAAGCAUGUUAAAAUACUCGAAUUACUUAAAGUUAUUCAAGUAGGCAAUUCCAAAGGGCCAUAAAUAAAAGUAAACUCUGCAUAAAUAUGAAAUGGAAGAAAAAGAAAUCAGAAUGUAAAGAAGAAAAUUAAGACCUCAUCUUUUGGCAAAAAUGGCAGUAUGAGAAUUAGAAUCUCUACAUCCUGUAUAAAGAUAGGAAAAAUCAGCAAAGUGACAGAGUGAAGGCAAAAAUCACUUAUCUAAAAAGGGCAUCUCAACAGAGAAGGAUAAAGCACUAAAUGUACUUAUAAAGUUUAUAGUAUGCAAUCACCAGUGAAUUAACACAUUUAAAAUGUGGGAAAUGCUACCAUGCCAUUAGUGUGCACACGUCCCUCUUUAACAAAGCAGAAUUGCAAAUGUAAAGGACAAGGAUUGAGCUAUUUCUCUGUAUAUACUCAAAGAAUUCCAACUUUUGACCAACCCUAUCACCCAACUCCCCCACCUUAGAAGAAAAAGAAGAAAUAAAUAAAACAGCAACAAGAAGAAUUCAGAUUAGAACUAGGAAAAGAGCUAAAUUCUACACCUUUACUUUAGUAUCAUACAACUUCUUAAUGGUAGAUAACAAUUCCGGGGAAGGCGUUGUCCCAUCUAUCAAUGUGUGUAAAACCUGGAAGAUCAUCAAGACUGAGCCGUACUUUAUAAAAAUUAUUACUCAGUACUCUAUAAUAAAGAAUAUUCACAAAUCUAAAAACCUGCAUCACAAGCUCCAUGCUUCCAGUUGGUAGAUCAGAUAAGAUUUGAAGAAGCUCAGGCGACGGGCCAAUUGCUCGAACAAGCUUUGGGAUGUGGUGUAAUACUGCCUGUAACACACAAUUGGGUCAGAACAUCUAAAUAAAUUUGUUAAAAAGAACACAAAAUGCCUAAUUAUAAUAUAUUAGUUUGAGAUUGUACAAAACCUGCUUUACAGCCUUGGAUGUAUUCUCAUAAAUAACAAAUAUUUGGCGAAAGAGGGAGUGAUUCUGUGCAUCAAAAUUGAAUACGUACAAUGAGUGUAAGAAGAGACGUAUAACAAUCUAUAAUAUACUCACAUAGAGUUCAUUUCUGUGGCGCAAUUUUUGAAACGAAACUAAGUUUACACCUUUGUACAAAUUGCAAAAUACAGAGCCAUGCGUCGCUGCCCCUCAGCUAGUAAGGAGGACGAUAUACUUUCAGAUAUUGACAAUGAAUCGGUGACUGCUGAUAACCCUUUGGAAGAGGUACCAACAACGGGAAGUUCAUUUGAUGGUUUUCCCAUAUCAGAAUCCUGAAUAAAAAUGGUUUCUAUACAUCAUCAAAUUACUGCAACACAAGCAAGCUAUUUAAUCAUUAAUUCAAAAUUUGCAGAAUUAGAUAAUUGUUCAACAAAAAUGCAAUGCAAGUCAAACAAAAUAGCCGCAUUUAAAUCGUGAAAUCACUUUUCCAUUUUCAAAAGCAAGACCUUAAAUUCAGCAUUAGCUCCAUCAGCAUCACAUGACUCCAAUGCAGUAUUGGCAUUUGCAGCUGAUACCAACACCUCCCAGGCAAAAGCUUCUAUUUGCCGUGACAUUGAAGGCAGAGGAUAAAGCUUGUUCACCACCUGUAAACAUAGAAGCAAUAUAAACGAACAUAAUAUGCAACAAAUAUAAAUUCAAUUCAAAGUGACUUGAGCAAAGCAUACCAGACGUAAGGCCUUAUCUCGCACUUCUUCAACCGGAUGAAUUGCACUCUAUCAGAAAUCAAAAUAAAAUCCAAGUCAGAACUGAAGAACUUAAGGAUAGUUAGUCGCCUCCUAAAUAAAAUAACCUGAAUACCGUUUGGGUUUCAUGAGAAGCUCUUCAGCUUGAAAUAAAGGACUAUUUCUAAAGGAUGUGCACAAUAGCUUCAUAAACCCAAUACCCUAAACUCAGCAACUUCACUAUCAAGCAAAUUCAAGUGAAUGAGAAGACAAGCACAAGUAGAACAUACAACUGCCCCCUCAAUCAAUAAAUUUAAAGAGAACUUUUAAAAAGAGUUAUCACUCUCCAAUCCUACACCACAUACACAUAUUUAGUAAGAAAUUUUAACUUCUAAUUAACCAACACCUUCUCUUCUUUAUAACACCACCUCUGCUUUUCAACAAAAGAAAGGGGAGAAAAGGAACAAAAUAAGUACAUAACAAAGCAUGAGAGAGAUAACUGUGUGGUUAGCUUUAUUAAGCCAUGGAUCCUUAGCCAAUAGAUGUCCUCUUAUUAUACUUGAGCACAGCUUUGUCCAAUAUUCUUCUUUGAGAUAAUGAGCUGUUCUAUCAAUUAUACCAUAAUUACAAACAUAUUUCAACAUUUUCCAUUAUAAAAAAGCAAAGAAGGUUAAAAUAUGUCAUUUACAAGCCAAAAGCCCAUGACAAAAGAGCUGCAUAUAUACAAGUCAUAAAUCUUUUCAUAGAACUUUGAACAAGAUAAAUUAGGAAACCAUUGAAGCAUAUAUUAAAGCAAAACUAAUAAUGUUACAAUAGAAGAGAAAAACCUUCAAAGCAAUUGUUAGGCAGGCAUCUCGAAUAGGAGGCCUCAACAAAAUCAGACUCCAUACAAUACUAAGACCUUGCCGAACUCGUUCCAGAUUGUUGUUAUCUUUGUUACUGCCACCAGGGGAACACAUGCCCUCAAGCAAUUUCAAAAUGGAAUCGGGCAGGUAAGGAACUUCAACAAGCAAUCUAUUUAGACAUUUGUCAGGCCAUGGAAAAGAAUCCCUUAAUGUUUCUGCCUGCAUUUUAGAAGAUAAACAAGAUGGUAUAAAUAGCUACCAUUCACUUAGGCCAAAGAGGUAGAAAAGAUCACAUACCACGGUAAGAAGAAACAUCUCAUAUACAGAUUUAGAAGUGGUUGAGGAAACAAAGUCGUGGUCCUCUUCUGCUUCACCAUAUAACCUGUAGAGGACACGCAAAGUCAACUCGUGCCCCUGACAACUUCCACUGGUUAGCCAUGUUACUAGAAACUUUAAUAUUGCAAAUACAAAAGGCAGACACCAAAAGGUAUGGAAAUAAUUUUUACAGCUAAAAUAUCUGGAAAGGAGGAAAUGGAAAAAUUUAUGACUAUUCUAUGCUAGAGAUCACAUGUAAAUAUGCAUAUAAACAUACUAAAAAAUUUUGAUAAGUUUUCAGAAUAUUAGAACAUUCUAAAAGUUGAGAUAAAGUACAAGCCACAAAGCAAAAUUUGAGUAGACAACCAAACAAAGAAGGCUUAUGAAGAUUGACAGAAGUGACAACCAAUAAAUGCACUGAACUGCAUAUACCACCUAUGCUAUACAGCCUUUAACUAAAGUUAAUGACCAAUUACUGAUAUUCCAUAUAAGGCCUUGGUCAAAGUACCUGCUUUCCAAUCAAACAAAGAAAAGGUAAGAGAAAAAGAAAAGUUCUUCAAAGAUCAUUGAAUACAUUCUUUACAACUUCCAAUGUUUGGUGAGAAGUCUCUUAAGAAUAACCUAUAAAAAUUUGCAAUGCAUUUAAAUCAUGUUGCAUCAUUAAUGCCCAUAGAAUAGGAAGUGGAAAGGUGAUUGAUGUAAAGAUUGGAGAAACUUGCAAGCAAGAAUCACUAGUUAUAAAGUGCCAAUGGAAUAACAGCUUAAAAACAAAAAUCAUAUGCUGUAUGGCUUCAAGCCAUCUGCUUUUCGAAGUGAGGACAGCAUAAUGAAAAGAGUGCAACAUUUCAAGAACCAAUCUGUCUCCAGACACAUACAAACCGAAUAUAUCAACAAAAGGUAUGAUUACCUCAUGAUUUACAUAGUCAGACAGUAUAUGUGUUUGUAGUAACUUCCAUGGCUCUAAAUCCAAUGGAAACUGCAUCAAGAAGCACAUGAAACAAUCUUGAGCACCUUUUGUUUUCAAGAACAACAUCUAGCACUUCUUAUUACAACCAUUAUAAGAACAUAUAUCAGACAAAGAAAUCUUAGGCACAGUACCUUAACUCCUAAAUAAGCAAGUACAGAAAGGCAGACUUGAGAACCUCCAGCGGUAGCUAUUUGCUUGUAAGUAUCAGUUAUGCGCAAGAGAAUUGGCUUCUGUAAGUUAUCUAGCUGGUCAUCACUAAGACUUAUAACUGGGGCAGAAAUCUUGGGCAAAAGCAACUGUGUCGAUAACCCAGAAGAAGUUGCACUUAAGGAGUUGACACAGCUUAGGUCUGUGACUGUAGCUCUAGGGCUAAGUUCCUCAGACCUAUCAGUUGACACUGAAGGAAGUAAUUCUAGUGAUGACCUAGCUAGACUACUAACUUGUUCUUGACUUGCAUCCUUCAAUUCAGUUGAACCCAAAGAAGUAAUAACUAAUUCAUCGUUGGGAACAGGUAAAUCUAGACCAGGUAUGUCACUCUCUUCAUUCCCAACAUCAAUAACAUCAGAAGGCGUCCCUGAACCACCAUUCUCUGUGUCACAUGGGACAUGUCCACCUGAAGAAGCUGGAGUAGUUGUAGGCACCGAAGCCUCUUCCAUCACAUAGCUCAUACCAGGGACAUCAGUAUUACCCGAGGUCCCUCUUAGCUGCAGUUAAGGGGAUAUUGAUCUUAAAUAAUGAUGCCCAAUCAGAAUCAACACAAAAAGCAGUUUGUGGAGAAAUUAUAAAGAACUGAUGGUUAAAAAACAGAUUCUAGACAGAGUCAAAUGGCCAUCAUAAGAGAAGUAGGGUUGCAGAUUGAAUGAUACCAAAAAAAGAAAAGAGAAAAACAGGCUGAGGAUUCAGAAGCACCUCAAGCUCAUUUGCUGCAGAAGGUAGAGAAUCCAUCCCACCAUCUUUCUGUGAGACAGCACUAGAUUGUGAAAGAAGGUUGGUGAGAAGCAAUGUUAAAUUAUCAAACUCAGAAUUGCUUCCUGACAUGCCAGGACAAGACCCUCUGCCAAACAACUGCUCAUUAUCUCCUUCAAUUUGAGGGCGAUUUGAAGGAAAAUUUCGCAUGUUAGCAAUUACAACUUCAGCAAGCAAGUCAGCUGAUAUACUAGAGAUGAGAAUCUCUAAUGAUGCAAUAGCUUUUUCUCCUUG